Molecule: long non-coding RNA, 956 nt
Organism: Serinus canaria (Common canary)
Lineage: Eukaryota; Metazoa; Chordata; Aves; Passeriformes; Fringillidae
Exons: 5
Source: RefSeq, a predicted model, not a curated record
GUAGAGCGAGUCCCCGUGGAGGCUGGGGAAGACGACGGGCGCGGCGCUCGGGGGCAGCAGCACCGAGUCCUUGCAGCGAGGUCACCUGGCAGAACAAGGACACAUGAAUAUUGUAAACUUCUAUCUCUACGUUUUCUUUCUUUUUUUUUUUUUCUUCCUUUUUUACCAGAUUCAGACAGGUAUCACCUUUUAUUUUUAAAACAAGCCAAGAGACGCAAACGUUAAAGACCAGUGCCAUCUCAAAUCCCAGGGUGUGGUUUGGCUCUCCUGGUAGCUGGCUCUUGUGAUUUGCAGAAUACUUCGUCUGUCACGACUGUCCCUGGGAAUCCACAGGAGGUGAACUGAAUAAGAUUAGACUAUUUACCCCAUCAACUCUCCAUCAAAGAAGGUGAAGGCAGCACGGCGGGACACGAGUGGGCACCGGAGGAGCCGCGGCGCUGGCGGAGCACACACCGCCCGGGUCGGGCGGGCGCUCGGCUUCCAGAAGAGUUUUUUGCUUCCCUGACGGUCUGAGUCGUUUUGCCGUGAAACCCUCGGUUUUGAUACCCGCUUCGCAAAACCUGCUCUCGGAGUUUCUCAUUUCCCAUGCGCUCUUCGCUAACCUGACAAACGGAAAAUUGUGUUAAACAAACAAUCAGUUGUCACAUAAUGUCGGGGUGAAAUUGUAAUAACAAAUGAAACACAAGCAAAUUGUGCUGCAUAGUGUUGCUAAGCAAUUGUUUGUUACGGGAGGGUGGUCACAGCAUGGGUUGAGAGAGGGAUCUAAAGAGGAGCAUAGCGCUGGGCAGAGCAAGCUGUUAGAUAUGAAAUACGGUAAACACGGCGCUGAUUUUCAGUAUUAUUACCCAAACACGAUUUCAUACAAAGCAAUCACCAUACACAAGUCUAUGAAAAUGCGCUUGUUGAGAAAUUGGACUUUUAUUUUUUAUUUAUUUUAAUAUAUUAAAGAACAAUUC